UGGACGCAUCACUGGUGUUCGGGUUGUCAUGCCAAUGGCACUGCCCGGUAGCUAAAUGCGGAAGAGAUAAGUGCUGAAAGCAUCUAAGCACGAAACUUGCCCCGAGAUGAGUUCUCCCUGAGACUUAAAGUCUCCUGAAGGAACGUUGAAGACGACGACGUUGAUAGGCCGGGUGUGUAAGCGCAGCGAUGCGUUGAGCUAACCGGUACUAAUGAACCGUGAGGCUUAACCUU
RNAcentral lists this ribosomal RNA (233 nucleotides) under Salmonella enterica subsp. enterica serovar Infantis. RNAcentral's name for it is "partial 23S ribosomal RNA". It matches the Rfam family "Bacterial large subunit ribosomal RNA", at positions 2698 to 2925 of the family's 2925-position model. RNAcentral also lists the same sequence under 15 other names. Lineage: Bacteria; Pseudomonadati; Pseudomonadota; Gammaproteobacteria; Enterobacterales; Enterobacteriaceae. The record is from RNAcentral.